RNAcentral lists this ribosomal RNA (484 nucleotides) under uncultured bacterium. RNAcentral describes it as "partial 16S ribosomal RNA". It matches the Rfam family "Bacterial small subunit ribosomal RNA", at positions 30 to 507 of the family's 1533-position model. The record is from RNAcentral.
AUUGAACGCUGGCGGAAUGCUUUACACAUGCAAGUCGAACGGCAGCACGGGGGCAGCCCUGGUGGCGAGUGGCGAACGGGUGAGUAAUACAUCGGAACGUGCCCGGUCGUGGGGGAUAACGUAGCGAAAGUUACGCUAAUACCGCAUACGAUCUGAGGAUGAAAGCGGGGGACCUUCGGGCCUCGCGCGUUCGGAGCGGCCGAUGUCAGAUUAGGUAGUUGGUGGGGUAAAGGCCUACCAAGCCGACGAUCUGUAGCUGGUCUGAGAGGACGACCAGCCACACUGGGACUGAGACACGGCCCAGACUCCUACGGGAGGCAGCAGUGGGGAAUUUUGGACAAUGGGCGCAAGCCUGAUCCAGCCAUUCCGCGUGCAGGACGAAGGCCUUCGGGUUGUAAACUGCUUUUGUACGGAACGAAAAGGCUCUGGCUAAUACCUGGGGCUCAUGACGGUACCGUAAGAAUAAGCACCGGCUAACUACGUG